AGAAUCAACGCUGGCGGCGUGCCUAACACAUGCAAGUCGAACGCGAAAGGGGAGCAAUCCCUGAUUAGAGUGGCAAGCGGGUGAGUAACACGUGGGUGACCUGCCUUCGAGUGGGGGAUAACCUUCCGAAAGGAGGGCUAAUACCGCAUGACAUACCGUGUUUGGAUACACGGAUAUCAAAGCCGGGGAUCGCAAGACCUGGCGCUUGGAGAGGGGCCCGCGUCCGAUUAGCUAGUUGGUGGGGUAACGCUCACCAAGGCUCCGAUCGGUA
This 271-nucleotide ribosomal RNA is filed under the name uncultured bacterium. RNAcentral's name for it is "partial small subunit ribosomal RNA". It matches the Rfam family "Bacterial small subunit ribosomal RNA", at positions 26 to 285 of the family's 1533-position model. The record is from RNAcentral.